UUUAUAUUAAAAAUAAUUUUAAAAAAUAUUGUUUAAGUAUUUUAUAAAGAAAUAAUAAUAAUAAUAAUAGUUUAUUAGUAUUGUGAAAUAAUAUUGAAAUAAUUGAAAAAUUUUUAUAAAAUAAGAAAAUUUAAUUAAUUGUACCUUGUGUAUCAGGGUCUAUCUAUUAAAAAAUAAUUAUUUAUUUUUCUCGAAUUAAAAAGAGUUAAUAAAUUAUAAUAGUUAAUGUGAUAAAAUUAUUAUAAAUAAUUUAUUAGAAAUGAAAUGUUAUUCGUUUUUUAAGAUAUCUAGUUUUUUAAGAAAUAAAUUUAAUUUAUAAAUUUUAAAAAAUUUAAUUUAAUUUGAUUAGUUAAAUUAUUAUAAAAUUUAAAUAUUUUAGGGGAUAAGCUUUAAAAUAUAUUUUUAAAAAUUAAUAAAUAUUUUUUAUAAAUGUACGCUUAGAAAUAGCGAUCAUUUAUAAAUUUGUUAUAAUUUAUUAUAUAAAAUUGAUUAUUUAUUAUAUUUUAAGUUAUUUAUUAAAAAAUUUAUUUGAAUAUAAAAAAUAAAGAAAUAAUGAUAAAAUUAGUAUAAAUAUUGUAUAAAUAAAUUUAAAUGAAAAGUUUAAGUAAAGAAUUCGGCAAAUUUAAUAUUCGCCUGUUUAACAAAAACAUGUCUUUUUGUGUUAAUUAAAAAGUCUAGCCUGCCCAAUGAAUUUUUUUGAAUGGCCGCAGUAUAUUAACUGUGCAAAGGUAGCAUAAUCAUUAGUCUUUUAAUUGAAGGCUGGUAUGAAUGGUUGGAUGAAAUAUUAACUGUUUCAUUUAAAAUUUUUAUAGAAUUUUAUUUUUUAGUUAAAAAGCUAAAAUAUUAUUAAAAGACGAGAAGACCCUAUAAAUCUUUAUAUUUUAUUUUUAUUAAUUAUUUAGAUGUUUUUGAUUAUUAUAAAUUAAAAUAUUUUAUUGGGGUGAUAUUAAAAUUUAAUAAACUUUUAAUUUUUAAAAACAUAAAUUCAUGAAUUUUUGAUCCAUUAUUAAUGAUUAAAAAUUUAAGUUACUUUAGGGAUAACAGCGUAAUUUUUUUGGAGAGUUCAUAUCGAUAAAAAAGAUUGCGACCUCGAUGUUGGAUUAAGAGAUAGUUUUGGGUGUAGCAGUUCAAAUUUUAAGUCUGUUCGACUUUUAAAUUCUUACAUGAUCUGAGUUCAAACCGGCGUAAGCCAGGUUGGUUUCUAUCUUUAAUUAAUUAAAAUAUUUUAGUACGAAAGGAUUAAAUAUUUGAAUUAUAAAAUUUUUAUAAUUGAAUUAUAUUAAUUGUAAAUAA
Molecule: ribosomal RNA, 1293 nt
Filed under: Anthomyza sp. DY-2021
Lineage: Eukaryota; Metazoa; Arthropoda; Insecta; Diptera; Anthomyzidae
Description: 16S ribosomal RNA
Rfam family: Archaeal large subunit ribosomal RNA (bases 1037-1196)
Source: RNAcentral